This 254-nucleotide ribosomal RNA is filed under the name uncultured bacterium. Its description in RNAcentral is "partial 16S ribosomal RNA". It matches the Rfam family "Bacterial small subunit ribosomal RNA", at positions 524 to 776 of the family's 1533-position model. The record is from RNAcentral.
UACGGAGGGUGCGAGCGUUGUCCGGAAUCAUUGGGCGUAAAGGGCGCGUAGGUGGCCCCUCAAGCGUGCGGUGAAAGUCGGGGCUCAACCCCGAUCGGCCGUGCGAACUGGGGGCUGGAGCACUGUAGAGGCAGGCGGAAUUCCGGGUGUGAGCGGUGGAAUGCGUAGAGAGUCCGGAAGAACACCGGUGGCGAAGGCGGCCUGCUGGGCAGUUUCGCUGACACUGAGGCGCGACAGCGUGGGGAGCAAACAGG